AGACACCCCAGAGACAAGUCGAGCAGCAGAAAUCCUAUUACCAUACUCACCCAGAAAAAGACUUGGCCAAUCGGUUAUUUUGAAGUCAGAUAGGAAAUUUAAAACUUUGUUUGAAAGAAAUUAGGACGAACGUCCCAUUAUACGAGGGAGAAUAGAUAUAUAUAAUCAUAUAUAUUUAUAUAUAUAUACAUAUAUAUUCCACCACAUUCCCUAAAAGGAAUAAAAUCAUUAAACCGCCUAAGCUAGGUCGUCAAAAUAAAAUUUGGCGGCCUGAACAAAGGGACCAAAGGGACCUAAGGGAACAAAGGAAUACCUAUCCUUAUGACGGUACAGGAAGUGGUAGCAGAAAAGAAAAGUUAAAGUUCAACAAGGCAUAAGACAACGUCAAUUUUUAAAAUUUGUUUUAAUUGCAAAAGUGCAUAAAGUGAUUUUUAUAAAUUAGUUAAUUUAGUAAAACAAAAAAAUUUUAAUUUU
Molecule: long non-coding RNA, 474 nt
Organism: Eupeodes corollae
Lineage: Eukaryota; Metazoa; Arthropoda; Insecta; Diptera; Syrphidae
Exons: 3
Source: RefSeq, a predicted model, not a curated record